ACAAAGCCAGCGCCGCCCGCCGGGCCGCCCCCGGGGCAGGGGCGAGGGAACCGGAGGGACCUAUCCUGGACAUGGGGAGCAGUCCUAGUCCCCAGAGGGCGCUCAGGGGAAUCGGCCUCAGACAAUGAGGGCGGCAGGGCCCGACGCUCCAGCGGGGACUCCGCGCUCUACUCACCCGGGCGCGGCGGCGGCGGCGGCGGCGGUGGCGGCUACGACGACUGCAGCGGUGCGGCCGGGCUGGGCCAAGGAAGUUAGAGCAAGUUCGGCGGCGCUGGGCGGGAGGGCGCGACUCAGGCCAUCCGAGCGCGGGGGCGGGGCGCGGAGGGGCGGGGCCGGGGGCGCGGCGCCCGGCGGCGGCUGAGAAAGGGGCGCCACUUCCCUGCGCCGCCCGGCGCGGCCCCGCCCUCCACGCCCCGCCCCCACCGCUCGCCCCGCCCGGCCUUCCAGCCCGCGCCUGGGCAGAACCCGCGGCGCCCGGUCCCCGGCCCGCCCCUUUGUCCCGCUUUGGGCGGGGCCGCAGGCGGGGGGCGGCCCUGGUCGGCGCUCGCCCCUUGGGUGAGCGGGGCAGGCUGAGGCCGGACCUGCACCCGGCGUUUGGGGGCCGGAGCAAUACGUGGACGCCACGUCGGCCUUGUCACUGACCCCACCGGAACCCAGCCUGAGAGAAGCGCGAGUUGUGGGUGCCACAACUCGGGGCUACGGGGGUGACCGGGUAGAGAGGUGGAGCCAGCAGGGAAAAUGUCUUUGAGGAGGUGAUGGUGAAAUUGAAGUCAAGAAAAUGAGGAGAUAGCUUUGGGAAAAGCCAAGCAGAGACAUUCCAAGUCAAGAACAGUUUGUGCUGAGGCCCUGAGAAAGGUAAGCUGUGAAUGUGUGAAGGAGCUGAAAACAAAACCUUGUGGCUGGAGUUCAGCAAGCCUGGGAAAAAGAACAAGGAUGAAGUGGGGAAGUGGGCAGGGACCAGGCCAUGCAAGACUGUGUUUAGGAAUGGAGACUUUUUAUUAAACCAUCGAGGGUGGGCUUCCCUGGUGGCACAGUGGUUGAGGGUCCGCCUGCCGAUGCAGGGGACGCGGGUUCGUGCCCCAGUCUGGGAGGGUCCCACAUGCCGCGGAGCGGAUGGGCCCGUGAGCCAUGGCUGCUGGGCCUGUGCGUCCGGAGCCUGUGCUCCGCAACGGGAGGGGCCACGGCAGUGAGAAGCCCGCGUACUGCAAAAAAAAAAAAAAAAAGUAAAAAAAAACAUUGAGGGGUUUUAUGCAGAAGACUGUGUUCUGAUUUUCUGCUGUGUGAAAAUAAAUUGGGUGGGUGGCAGGCACAAAUAAAAGCAAGGAGAUAAUUAGACUGUUAUGGCAGCCCCGGCCAAAAAUAAUGGUGGUUUGGACCAAAUUGGUGGCCACACUAAGGUGAGUAGUUGAAAGAUGCUGUUUUGCACAUGGACACUGAUAGGAUGGAUGUAGGGGCAGGGAAUAGAGAAACCAAAGAUAACUUUGAAGUUUCUGGCUGGAGUAAGUGGGUCAUUUAUUGAGUGCCUCAUUUAUUGGGUGGAGUAGCCUGGAGGAAAGGGACUACAGUUCAGGGAGACACAUCAAGAAUUCUGUUUGAGGGGCUUGCCUGAUGGUGCAGUGGUUAAGAAUCCGCCAGCAGUGCAGGGGACAGGGUUUCAAUCCCUGGUCCGGGAAGAUCCCACAUGCCUCGGAGCAACUAAGCCCGUGUGCCGCAACUCCUGAGCCUGCACUCUAGAGCCCGUGAGCCACAACUACUGAGCCCACGUGCCACAACUACUGAAGCCCACGCACCUAGAGCCCAUGCUCCACAACAAUAGAAGCCACUGCAAUAAGAAGCCCAUGCACAGCAAUGAAGACCCAACACAGCCAAAAAUUAAUUAAUUAAUUUUAAAAAAAGAAUUCUGUUUUAGUCAUGUUGAGUUGAGAUGCCCGUCAGAGAUCCAGUUCAAUUGUCCAGUCACUAGGUGCUCGGAAGAGAGGCCUGAGCUGGGAGUGGGGCUUUGGGAGGCAUCAUUUUAAUGAUGGUAAACACCUUGGGAUCUGAGGGAGUCACCUAGGUUGAGGAGGUAGAUGCAGAAGAGGAGAGGGUUCAAGAGGGACCCAGAGGAGUCAGACAGAGGAGCCAGAGCAGGAAAGAAGACUGAAAAAGAGGCUGGGGAGGCGAAAGGAGAACCGGGAGAGUGCUAUGUCCCGGAGACUGACAAAGCAGUGUUUCCAGAAAAGAGUGGUCAGCUGUGCUAGAUGCUACUUCCAGCUCAGAUAAGAUGAAGAAGGGGAAAGAUCCUUUGACUCUGGCCACAUGAAUGUCAUUGGUGCACAUGAUAAGGACAGUGUUCCAGGAGUAGUGGGGUGGCAGCCAGACCAUGGUAGAGCUAUAGUGUUUGGACAGCUUGUCCAACAGGGAACACAGAACAGGGAGAGGUCUAGAAAGGGAUGUGGAAUCAUAGGAGGCUUUGCCAGAGAAUGCUAGAUGACCCUAAUAGCCAUUCUCCCCCAUUUCCUUUAUUAUAGACUUUCCAGUUCUAGCUGGCCACAUGGCUUGCCUGAAUAAAAGCAAGUUUCUAGGACUCCCUCAUGGCUGCGUGUGGUCACGUGACUCAGUUCCAGCCAACAGGAAGGAAGUGGAGGUGUCCACGUGCAACUUUGGAGAAGUAGCUUUAAAGGGAAGUGGUGUGCUUAUCUCAGCCAUUGCUCUCUGCUCCCUGGAAUAUGUAAAUAGAGCUGCAGACAGCCUAUUGAACUUUGAAGCCGCAGCCAAGUUAGAAUAAAUCCGGGUCCCUAAUGUUUAGGGAGCCGCCGUGCGCGCUCUGGGCUCUUAGCUCUUGGUUUUGUAUUUGAGAAAAAGAAUUUUCUGUCUUGUUUAAUCCUCUGUUUUCCAGUGCUCAUAGCCAUAUCUAAUUUUUACUUCUGUUAGGAUACAAAGGGUUUUGUUAAAAUAUGGAAGUUACUAGAGCAGGUUUGAAGAGUCAUAGGAAUGAUGCAGGAGUGAUGCUUCUGAAGAAAAGGUGGAAGGAGAUGUUAUGUGAGCAUGAAUGGUGAGGACACCUCUGGUAGAGGGAUGGCUCCACCAUUAUUAAAAAGGGGGGUGUGGAGACAGAGAAGAUGUGUCCAGUGAAAGUUGCAAUUGGGAAGAUGGUCAUCCACACCUGAUGAUUUCUGGUUAACCCUGGAUGUGAAGGAGGUCAUGAGCCUAGAACAAGGAGGAGAGAGUAAGGCCAGCUUUGUGAAUCAUGGACCCGAUGAUGUUGGAGGUCCUGCCAGCCUGAGCAGCCUCAGGGAGACAGCUGCUUUCUGGAACAGUUGGCCACACUGCUGCAGGGCAUGAAGAGGGUGAGGGGAGUGCCCACAAAACCGGCAAGGCCUCCACCCCUCCCCCACCAGGCCUCACUGACAGUUACUUAUGACACUCGCCUGCCAUUUCCAGCUGCCCUUUGAGACCCACCAAGCUUUACCUGACCCAUUUUUACAAUAAUACGGGGUGGCUUCAGAAAGCAUCAGGGACACUCAAAGCAGGGCAGGCCCAUUUUCUCUUCCUUUCUUAAAAAGUAAAAAGAAUUGCCGUGGUGAUCAUUUUGAAAUGUAUAGAAAUAUCAGAUCUCUAUGUUAUGCACCAGGAACUGCCAUAGUGUUGUAGGUCAGUUAUAUACUUCAAAAAGCAAACAAGCUCAUAGAAAAAGAGAUCAGAUGUGUGGUUACCAGAGGUGGGGGGGUGGGGAGAAGGGGAAUUGGAUGAAGGUGGUCAAAAGGUACAAAAUUCCAGUUGUGAAAUAAAGAAGUACUAGGGAUGUCAUGUACAACAUGAUUAAUUAACACUGCUGUAUGUUACAUAUAAAAGUUCAGAAAGUAAAUCCUAAGAGUUCUCAUCAUAAGGAAAAAAUUUUUUUUAUUUUUCUUUUAUUUUGUAUCUGUAUGAGUUGAUGGAUGUUCACUAAACUUACUGUAAUCAUUUCAUGA
Long non-coding RNA from Orcinus orca (killer whale), 3953 nucleotides. RefSeq lists it as uncharacterized. The record is from RefSeq and is a predicted model, not a curated record. The transcript has 2 exons. NCBI's taxonomy places the organism in Eukaryota, Metazoa, Chordata, Mammalia, Artiodactyla, Delphinidae.